AUAAGCACAACCUUUAGAAAAAUUGCCUUUGACAAUACCUUGGUACAUAGUUUUCAUCUGCACUGGUGGCCUCCUGUGUCAUUGUGAGGUCAUUGGCAUCUAAUAUUCUUACCUCAGACAACAUGUGCAACACCACAGUCAGCAAAUUAACCAUGAACCAAGGAUAUCUUUGAUUGCUUAUUUUCUUUGUUUCUUACAAACCCCCACACAAGAGGGGGUCAGACUGCAAUGCAGUCUGGGUUAUGUGAUUUCAACCCAGAGAAGAAAACUAAAGCCAAAGAGUUCUCCUGAGUACUUCUUACAAAGAGCAGAGCCUACACCGGAAUCCAUAUUGAGGCAAGUCCACUCUUUGCAAUGUCUGUGUACCAAAUCUUUCUCACUUUCACUUUUCACUAAGAAAUUACCAAUG
This 409-nucleotide long non-coding RNA is filed under the name Vulpes vulpes (red fox). RNAcentral describes it as "lncRNA (ENSVVUG00000003595.1)". Lineage: Eukaryota; Metazoa; Chordata; Mammalia; Carnivora; Canidae. The record is from RNAcentral.